RNAcentral lists this non-coding RNA (148 nucleotides) under Nomascus leucogenys (northern white-cheeked gibbon). Lineage: Eukaryota; Metazoa; Chordata; Mammalia; Primates; Hylobatidae. The record is from Rfam by way of RNAcentral.
GCUGGGUGUGGGGGCGCACACCUGUAAUCCCAGCUACUCUGGAGGCUGAGGCAGGAGAAUCGCUUGAACCCAGGAGGUGGAGGUUGCAGUGAGCCGAGACCACGCCACUGCACUGUAUCCUGGGCAACAGAGCGAGACUCCAUCUCAA